Molecule: ribosomal RNA, 492 nt
Filed under: uncultured bacterium
Lineage: Bacteria
Description: partial 16S ribosomal RNA
Rfam family: Bacterial small subunit ribosomal RNA
Source: RNAcentral
AGUGAACGCUGGCGGUAGGCCUAACACAUGCAAGUCGAACGGCAGCACAGUAAGAGCUUGCUCUUACGGGUGGCGAGUGGCGGACGGGUGAGGAAUACAUCGGAAUCUACUUUUUCGUGGGGGAUAACGUAGGGAAACUUACGCUAAUACAGCAUACGACCUGCGGGUGAAAGCAGUGGAUCUUCGGACCUUGCGCGAUUGAAUGAGCCGAUGUCGGAUUAGCUAGUUGGCGGGGUAAAGGCCCACCAAGGCGACGAUCCGUAGCUGGUCUGAGAGGAUGAUCAGCCACACUGGAACUGAGACACGGUCCAGACUCCUACGGGAGGCAGCAGUGGGGAAUAUUGGACAAUGGGCGCAAGCCUGAUCCAGCCAUACCGCGUGGGUGAAGAAGGCCUUCGGGUUGUAAAGCCCUUUUGUUGGGAAAGAAAAGCAGCAGGUUAAUACCCCGCUGUUCUGACGGUACCCAAAGAAUAAGCACCGGCUAACUUCGUG